RNAcentral lists this ribosomal RNA (246 nucleotides) under uncultured bacterium. RNAcentral describes it as "partial 16S ribosomal RNA". It matches the Rfam family "Bacterial small subunit ribosomal RNA", at positions 57 to 305 of the family's 1533-position model. The record is from RNAcentral.
GCAAGUCGAGCGGAAAGGCCACUUCGGUGGUACUCGAGCGGCGAACGGGUGAGUAACACGUGAGUAAUCUGCCCCUGGCUUUGGGAUAGCCACCGGAAACGGUGAUUAAUACCGGAUAUGACAGCUUCUCGCAUGAGAUGGUUGUGGAAAGUUUUUCGGCCAGGGAUGUGCUCGCGGCCUAUCAGCUUGAUGGUGAGGUAAUGGCUCACCAUGGCUUCGACGGGUAGCCGGCCUGAGAGGGUGACC